RNAcentral lists this ribosomal RNA (520 nucleotides) under uncultured Staphylococcus sp. RNAcentral describes it as "partial 16S ribosomal RNA". The record is from RNAcentral. Lineage: Bacteria; Bacillati; Bacillota; Bacilli; Caryophanales; Staphylococcaceae.
CACGUAGUUAGCCGUGGCUUUCUGAUUAGGUACCGUCAAGACGUGCACAGUUACUUACACAUUUGUUCUUCCCUAAUAGCAGAGUUUUACGAUCCGAAGACCUUCAUCACUCACGCGGCGUUGCUCCGUCAGGCUUUCGCCCAUUGCGGAAGAUUCCCUACUGCUGCCUCCCGUAGGAGUCUGGACCGUGUCUCAGUUCCAGUGUGGCCGAUCACCCUCUCAGGUCGGCUACGUAUCGUUGCCUUGGUAAGCCAUUACCCCACCAACUAGCUAAUACGGCGCGGGUCCAUCUAUAAGUGAUAGUAAAACCAUCUUUCACUUUAGAACCAUGCGGUUUCUAAAUAUUAUCCGGCAUUAGCCCCGGUUUCCCGGAGUUAUUCCAGUCUUAUAGGUAGGUUACCCACGUGUUACUCACCCGUCCGCCGCUAACGUCAAAGGAGCAAGCUCCUUAUCUGUUCGCUCGACUUGCAUGUAUUAGGCACGCCGCAGCGUUCAUCCUGACGCCAGGAUCAAACUCUCG